This 221-nucleotide ribosomal RNA is filed under the name Paenibacillus ottowii. Its description in RNAcentral is "partial 23S ribosomal RNA". It matches the Rfam family "Bacterial large subunit ribosomal RNA", at positions 1456 to 1677 of the family's 2925-position model. Lineage: Bacteria; Bacillati; Bacillota; Bacilli; Caryophanales; Paenibacillaceae. The record is from RNAcentral.
UAUGAGCGAUGGGGUGACGCAGUAGGGUAGUGACGCGGACUGAUGGAUGUCCGUCUAAGCAGUGAGGCUGGUGUGUAGGCAAAUCCGCACAUCGUAAGGCUGGGCUGUGAUGGGGAGCGAAAAUUGGAGUAGCGAAGGUCAUGAUCUCAGACUGCCAAGAAAAGCCUCUAGCCAGGAGAAGGUGCCCGUACCGCAAACCGACACAGGUAGGCGAGAAGAGA